AGUGAACGCUGGCGGUAUGCCUAACACAUGCAAGUCGAACGGCAGCACAGUAAGAGCUUGCUCUUACGGGUGGCGAGUGGCGGACGGGUGAGGAAUACAUCGGAAUCUACUUUUUCGUGGGGGAUCACGUAGGGAAACUUACGCUAAUACCGCAUACGACCUACGGGUGAAAGCAGGGGAUCUUCGGACCUUGCGCGAUUGAAUGAGCCGAUGUCGGAUUAGCUAGUUGGCGGGGUAAAGGCCCACCAAGGCGACGAUACGUAGCUGGUCUGAGAGGAUGGUCAGCCACACUGGAACUGAGACACGGUCCAGACUCCUACGGGAGGCAGCAGUGGGGAAUAUUGGACAAUGGGCGCAAGCCUGAUCCAGCCAUACCGCGUGGGUGAAGAAGGCCUUCGGGUUGUAAAGCCCUUUUGUUGGGAAAGAAAAGCAGCAGGUUAAUACCCCGCUGUUCUGACGGUACCCAAAGAAUAAGCACCGGCUAACUUCGUG
Molecule: ribosomal RNA, 492 nt
Filed under: uncultured bacterium
Lineage: Bacteria
Description: partial 16S ribosomal RNA
Rfam family: Bacterial small subunit ribosomal RNA
Source: RNAcentral